Molecule: unclassified non-coding RNA, 173 nt
Filed under: uncultured Trichoderma
Lineage: Eukaryota; Fungi; Ascomycota; Sordariomycetes; Hypocreales; Hypocreaceae
Description: sequence contains ITS2
Source: RNAcentral
CAACCCUCGAACCCCUCCGGGGGGUCGGCGUUGGGGAUCGGCCCUCCCUCGCGGGGGGCCGUCUCCGAAAUACAGUGGCGGUCUCGCCGCAGCCUCUCCUGCGCAGUAGUUUGCACACUCGCACCGGGAGCGCGGCGCGUCCACAGCCGUUAAACACCCAACUUCCUGAAAUG